GAUGUACAAUCUCAUCACAGGUUCCUAAACAACAGGCCCAGACUGACCAUAGGGUAAAACUUCCCAAACUAUGAACCCAAGCAAACUUUCCGUCUUUUAGCAUUGAUGGCUUUGCAUAUGUGUUACAGUAAUGGAAAGCUGCAUAACACAGUAGUCUUACUUUCUCAUCGGUAAAUGUGACAAUCAUAAAAGAUUGGGCCAACUGUCUGAAAUAAGCCAUGCAUGGUACUUAGAUAAGGCUGUUGGCCCAACAAUAACUCAGUGAGGGUUAGCAAUCACUCUUAUCUGCAGCCACUGGCUCAGGGAGCUUCCUUGACUGAUCUAAGAUUACACACAGAAAGUGCAGACUAGGUUUUUAAGCCAUCAUUUAGUUGGAUUAACAGGCUACAUGCUACCUAAAGCCCCCUUUGACAGUAAAGCAGAUUCCUGUUGCCUCCAAGGACUGAAGCUUCCUUUUCAGAGUAAUUUCUCCAGGAAAUACUUGAACAGAAAUACAAAGGGGUGAGAAUUGAGAGCCCCAGGACAGUGGCAUCAUUUAGGGUUUGAACUCAGACCUAGUCUCCCUUUGUCAAUGUGUCUGGUCCUGGUAGUAGUGGUCAGACCUGAGGACCUCAUGCUUGAAGUUUAUCUAUGUCUUGGGUAUUUGGAUACCUGAUAACUCUAGCAGGAAAUACUAAAAAAAAAAAAGAAAAAAAAAAAAAAAGGAUGCACUGACCCACACUACUGAUUGCUACUCACUUGGGUCCAGCAGUUUCGCUGCCUUUAUGGCUGGCCCCAACAGUGACUGCCAAUCUUGCUAAGUUCUCAUAGCUGGUUACUACCAUGCCAGCCUCUUGCAUGCACAUUCUGUGGCUAGUUGAGGUGUCCGUACCUUUCUCUUGAACUCAGUUGAAGUCACUGAGCGAAGGAAAACACCACAUAAUCUUAGUUCAAAAUCAACA
Molecule: long non-coding RNA, 941 nt
Filed under: Rattus norvegicus (Norway rat)
Lineage: Eukaryota; Metazoa; Chordata; Mammalia; Rodentia; Muridae
Description: long non-coding RNA NONRATT019913
Source: RNAcentral